RNAcentral lists this ribosomal RNA (319 nucleotides) under uncultured eukaryote. RNAcentral's name for it is "partial 18S ribosomal RNA". It matches the Rfam family "Eukaryotic small subunit ribosomal RNA", at positions 1470 to 1796 of the family's 1831-position model. The record is from RNAcentral.
CCCUUAGAUGUUCUGGGCUGCGCGCGCGCUACACUGAUGCAUCCAACAAGUUUUUUCCUUGUUCGAGAGGACUAGGUAAUCUUAUGAGAAUGCAUCGUGAUGGGGAUAGAUUAUUGCAAUUAUUAAUCUUCAACGAGGAAUUCCUAGUAAGCGCGAGUCAUCAGCUCGUGCUGAUUACGUCCCUGCCCUUUGUACACACCGCCCGUCGCUGCAACUGAUUGGGUGACCUGGUGAACAUCUUGGACCGGCCCACUCAAUUUCGAGAGGACUGGAAAAGGCCGUAAAUCAGGUACAUCUAGAAAUUGCAAAAGUCGUAACA